UGGUGUACAGUUCUAGUGUACCU
This 23-nucleotide small nuclear RNA is filed under the name Arabidopsis thaliana (thale cress). RNAcentral describes it as "snRNA_03172". Lineage: Eukaryota; Viridiplantae; Streptophyta; Magnoliopsida; Brassicales; Brassicaceae. The record is from RNAcentral.